UUUCCCAUCCCUAUAUCUACACCUGAAACUAACAUAGUGAUGUGUAUCAACUGUCACUGAAAAUAAAAAUUACAGCAAAGUUUUUAAUCUCAUGUACACGAGAAAACAUCCGAAGAAUGCCGUCAACACAGUACACUGCAGACAGAGUGUUGGCUGUUUACCCGCAUGCUAGUGCGACUCACUGCCCAGCAUCAUGAGAAAGGACUGUGCCACGUAUUGCUAGUGUAGGAAAAGACCAAUAUUCAAAAUCUGAAGUAAGGUUUUUACAGAAUGUGUAUCACUUUUAUGCCAUCAUAAAGUCCACCACCAUAAAGCAGGGGCCAUCUGUACUUAUGAUUUUCCCUCCAGAGUUUCUCUAACAUUCAGUUUUACAAAGAAGUUCCUCCUCCAUCCAGCUCCCAAUAAACAUGGGGCAGCAUAUGACAAUGAUUUUAAAUAAGAGUGGUUUAAUUUCCAUUUUAUACCUGUGAGAUUGUUUUUUUUUUAAACCAAAUGUAAUAAAAAGUCUAGUUAACAUUUUAAAAGGUUCACAAUCUCUAGAGGAACAGCCCGCAUAGUUAGAAAUUCCUUCCUGAUUCUAGAGGCGCUCCCCUGCCACAGCAGCCCGCAAGCUGCCCAGCCCUGACGCCAGAAACCCACCGCGCACAGCCCAGGCCUAGCUCCACUCUCCAAGGGCAGGCCUUCAGCACUGUCCUCUUGCUUCAGCUUUGGCAAGAGGCAAGCUUCCACCAAACUCGUUCUUGGAGGCCCUGGGUGGCCCAGGAACAGGUGAGUGCUCCUCAAACCUGGCUAGUGCUGAAGGUACCCGCCCUGCCUUCAGGCGUAUCUGCAGCCUGACCCUCAGCUGCUCACCCAGGAGCAAGCCCCAGUUCUCCCGGUUGCGUCCCCAGGCCCUCCUGUUCUCAGCAUAAAGUCACCAUGUGCUCCCGCUGCUGCUUCCGGACUGGGCUCACCUGUACAGGACCCGAAUUACUGAUGUUUGCGUCCACUUACUGCACUUAGAAGUCACCGUUCUAACCUGUUUCCAAAAACACUGUAUGGGUGGCUUUUAACUGGUCUUCAAGUUUCCACAGAGAAGGGGGAAAAACAGUAUCUUGCCUUUUAAAAAAGCUUUACUAAGUGAUAGUAUCAGUAAGAAUAUCAUGGCAUCAUUAUUAAGAACUCCGACAAAAGGAAAACCUGAUAGAUAGGCAGCUGUGGAAUUAGUGGGCUACUAACACCACUGCCCAAGUGCCGUGGAAAACCGUUAACGCGCUGGUAAGUUUGGUUAGCGUGAGAAACAGAUGUCGGGGGGGAAGAAGACCCCAAGUGCAGGUUGCUGGCUUCCCGUCCAGGCCAGGGGGGCGGGCUGCGGAGCCCGGCACAAACCGAGUGCGUGUGCUUCUGGACGGGCACGGAAUGUUACUGUUCUCAAGACGAAGCUACUCAAGCAAGCACCUCCGUCCUUAGCAGGAACCUUGCCCGUCUGCUGACUCAUCUUUUCUUGAGGCCCCUCUCAUAGGGAUGAAAUUUGUCACCUUAUUUGGGCUGAGACAUAACCACUGUCAGCUGCCCCUGGCACUCCUGCUGUUCUGGGCCACGCUCUCCCGAGAGACCGGAAACCCCUGAGCGUGCUGCCCGACAGGCAGGCCACCUCUUGGGAAUGCUGUGUUAUUGCUUUAAAACUACACUCCCUGCUAGAAAUAGAUGAGCUGAGAAGUGGCACCUGGCAUUGACUGAAAACACAGACAAGUCACCAGAAGGAUCACCCGCUAGUAAAGCCCAGCAUCUGGAGGAAUUCCGUGAGAACCCUGCAUCAUUCAGUCCCACCCAAGGACAGUCACUCCGCAGUCCAGUCUCGGACCUUGACCGUCUCCCAUCUCUAACAGGUUGCUUCUGGACCAGUGGUUCACGGCAAACAUGUCUGGGUUGUUGAACCAACUUCAGUUCUUGCCCUGACAACCCUUUCAUGCUGGUACCUGUAUGAUCAGUCACCGCCUCUCAGGUGACGAAGGACAGAAUGGGCAAGUGUAUGGUUCAGUUUUUGAACAAAUCACCUCUCAAAGAGCCUCCCAGAGUGAACUAAGUUCUAGAACCAAACUAUAUUUGGUAUUUCUAAAGAGGCUCAUAAAAAUGUCCUUGGGUCAUCAAGGAAGAGCUGCACUGCCUUCAGUACAAUUGGAAUAGUAGGUCAGGGGGUUGGAAUAGUAGGUCGGGGGAAUAUACACACCACAUUUGCAAAAGGUUCCCACCACAGUGCUUACAUUCCUUAGGUGGGGCAUCUCAUCCACUGAUGCUACAGGACGAGCAGAUGUUGAUGGCCCAGCCUAGGACGGCUGUGGUGACAACCAGGUAUGGGGGUUCCACGCUUUCAGAGUUUGCACAACUCUGGGUUGCUAUCCCGGGACGGCCUUCCCUGUGCAGGCUGUGGUUGGAGGAGGUAAUGAAGAACCAUCCCCUACCCUGAGCACUCCACACCAGCAUGUCCCAACGUAGAGCACCUACUGGGAGAGGUGUAUCCCCCAGACUGCUGAGCCCCACCCCCUGGGGCCUGAGUUUCCCAGGUGAUGCUGGGUGGUGGUCCUGACCCCACCCCAGGGCACACUGCUUCUCUGGAGGGCCUGUUCAGCCUCUGGCUUUGGAACUCACCGGCAUGCUCCAGUUUUGUGGAACAGCUCCAGAACAGUAGCCACCAGUGAAGGUUGCAUUAAUACCCACAAGACAGAUUGCAGCCACCAUCACACACCUGGAACCUGGGGUGGAAAGAGAUCGCCAGUUAAUUAAACCCAUUAGCAGUGUGCAACAGUCUCCACGCCCAGCCUGGCCUGCAGCUGGGGUUCCCUGGGCCUUUAAGACCAGCCUCUUCUGAGUCAAAUGCAAAGGGA
Phyllostomus discolor (pale spear-nosed bat) is the source of this 2864-nucleotide long non-coding RNA. RefSeq lists it as uncharacterized. The transcript is spliced from 2 exons. Lineage: Eukaryota; Metazoa; Chordata; Mammalia; Chiroptera; Phyllostomidae. The record is from RefSeq and is a predicted model, not a curated record.